AUAUCUCUCCGUACGGGAAGGAUGAGAAGCUUCGACUAAGGUUCGAUUCGAGCGCAGCGAGAAAGCGUUGCCGCAGGCAACGACCCGAAGGGUGAAGCGCGCAGCG
This 106-nucleotide small RNA is filed under the name Salmonella enterica. RNAcentral describes it as "partial RtT sRNA". It matches the Rfam family "RtT RNA", at positions 1 to 105 of the family's 130-position model. Rfam says of the family: This family represents a bacterial cis-regulatory element known as RtT RNA. The exact function of RtT is unknown although it is thought that it may be involved in changing the cellular response in relation to amino acid starvation. The record is from RNAcentral. Lineage: Bacteria; Pseudomonadati; Pseudomonadota; Gammaproteobacteria; Enterobacterales; Enterobacteriaceae.